RNAcentral lists this ribosomal RNA (338 nucleotides) under uncultured Pseudomonas sp. Its description in RNAcentral is "bacterial SSU rRNA". It matches the Rfam family "Bacterial small subunit ribosomal RNA", at positions 1045 to 1382 of the family's 1533-position model. Lineage: Bacteria; Pseudomonadati; Pseudomonadota; Gammaproteobacteria; Pseudomonadales; Pseudomonadaceae. The record is from RNAcentral.
AGUGUUGUCGUCAGCUCGUGUCGUGAGAUGUUGGGUUAAGUCCCGCAACGAGCGCAACCCUUGCCUUUAGUUACCAGCACGUUAUGGUGGGCACUCUAAGGAGACUGCCGGUGACAAACCGGAGGAAGGUGGGGAUGACGUCAAGUCAUCAUGGCCCUUACGGCCUGGGCUACACACGUGCUACAAUGGUCGGUACAAAGGGUUGCCAAGCCGCGAGGUGGAGCUAAUCCCAUAAAACCGAUCGUAGUCCGGAUCGCAGUCUGCAACUCGACUGCGUGAAGUCGGAAUCGCUAGUAAUCGUGAAUCAGAAUGUCACGGUGAAUACGUUCCCGGGCCUU